Molecule: transfer RNA, 82 nt
Filed under: Phycisphaerae bacterium
Lineage: Bacteria; Pseudomonadati; Planctomycetota; Phycisphaerae
Also listed under: 1 other name
Description: tRNA-Glu
Source: RNAcentral
CCGGGGCUGGAGGAGUCGCUGAUUCCGUCGUUCUCUCGGAGCGACAAGGGGCUGCCGCCGUCGGUUCCGCCGAAGCUCCAGC